This 220-nucleotide unclassified non-coding RNA is filed under the name uncultured Agaricales. RNAcentral describes it as "sequence contains ITS1". The record is from RNAcentral. Lineage: Eukaryota; Fungi; Basidiomycota; Agaricomycetes; Agaricales.
UUGAAUAGCUCGUAGUGCUGUGCUGGCCUCUCGGGGCAUGUGCACGCAUUGCAUUCUAUUAUCAUCUUUUUGUGAACCAGUGUAGGCUUUUUGGCUAGUAGUUUGGUUGGAAGCUCGCAAGAGUGGAAAGCCUUACGAGCGUCAGAAGUCUAUGAUUUUAUACACCCAUUUGUAUGUUUUAGAAUGUCACUUUAUUGACUGCAAAGUCAGUAAAACUAUA